Frieseomelitta varia is the source of this 1479-nucleotide RNA transcript. RefSeq lists it as uncharacterized. The record is from RefSeq and is a predicted model, not a curated record. NCBI's taxonomy places the organism in Eukaryota, Metazoa, Arthropoda, Insecta, Hymenoptera, Apidae. The transcript has 5 exons.
AGAAUUCGCUGACAAUUCGACAAUGACGCACAGUGCCGGAGACGUACGUGCCGCGACGUCUAUUUUUUUCGUUCGUUUCUCGCCCUUCGCUCGGUGCCCCUGCAAUUUCGCUUUCGCCCAACGCCGCAAGGACGAGAACCACCAACCAGUCGAAUUAUGGAUAGCCUGUACCCGAAUCUGUACGAGAGAUUCAAAAGCGAGGGCGUCUGUCCGAUUUGCCUGAUGGAAAUGGAACUAGCCCCGAGAUACACUUGCAACAACCAGCACACAAUUUGCUAUCGGUGCAAACCUUAUUAUUACGACUGUCCCACUUGUCACUCGCCAUUAGACAUGGAAAUGUCAUCUGCAUACUCGCCCUCGUCACCGCCACCGGCCAGCCACUUUCUGCCUCAUCCACUUCGGCCGAAAUUCUGUCCUACCGCACCGGCGGCCGAUGAUUUUCAAAAACACGAGAGAGGCUGGUAUCCACCUCCGCCAGCUGAAGGUCAGGAGCUCAAGGAGUGUACGUACGCUCAUCUAGGAUGCUGGGUGAAGGUACCGAUAUACUUGGCGGAUCUGCACGAGUCUCGAUGCCAAUUUCGUCCUCACUUAGAAGAGGAAUACCUGCCGACAGACGUGGCUCUCAAACACGACGAUUUGAUCGAGUGCAGGUACCGAGUGGUGGGUUGCAACGUGAAAACUUCACCGUGGAGGAUCACGAUCCACGAGAGCCAUUGCAUCUACAAGGAUCGUUUCGACGAGAUGAACAUCAGCGACUCCAUGGAACAGGCGACCAUCUCCGGCAACGAUUACGGAGAUCCCGAGGAAUUAGUGGAGUGUAAAUAUAGGAAAUACGGUUGCAUGGUGAACAUGCCCAGAAGACGGAAGCAGAUGCACCAAGCGAAAUGCAACUACAGCAAGUAUCACACCGACGAGGACGACGACGAUGGUUCGUCGUCGGAGGGCGAUUACGAUCCCGACGAACAGGUCGCUUGCAAAUGGGCCGAGUACGGCUGCAAAGUGAGACCGAAACGCAGCCGUUCAGAGACGCACGAGGAAAAAUGCAAUUACAGAAUGGAGGAGUGCGCUUACAAGCACAACGGAUGCACCGCCAUGCUUCAACCGCCUAGGAAAUUCGCUCACGAAAGAAGCUGCGAGUUUGCUUAUUAAAUUUCCUUUAGCCGGUGAACCGAGUAUCCCCUAACCGAGAGAAAUAAUUGUAAGAUUGUUUCUUAUAGUUGGGUCUCUUAAUAAAUGUUCCCUGAAUUCUUACUUAGGACGCAAUUUUAAUCACGAGAAGACGUACAAGGAUUCGAAUCAACAUCGUCGGGGCAUCGAUUCGUAUCUAACUGUACAUUGUUCCACAAGAUAGUUCAAGCAUGUUGAAUACCGCACUAUUAAUUACGUUACCAUCAAUUAGGUUAACUUAGAGGAAGAGCAUUUAAUCUAGGCGAAAAUCGUUCAAUAUAUAUAUUCUACUCUAUAAAUAUAUAUAUUAAU